CACGUAGGGUGCGAGCGUUGUCCGGAAUUAUUGGGCGUAAAGAGCUCGUAGGCGGUGUGUCGCGUCGGCCGUGAAAACCUGCAGCUUAACUGUGGGCUUGCGGUCGAUACGGGCAUCACUGGAGUUCGGCAGGGGAGACUGGAAUUCCUGGUGUAGCGGUGAAAUGCGCAGAUAUCAGGAGGAACAACGGUGGCGAAAGCGGCUCCCUGGCCCGAUACUGACGCUCAUGUACGAAAGCGUGGGGAGCAAACAGG
This 254-nucleotide ribosomal RNA is filed under the name uncultured bacterium. Its description in RNAcentral is "partial 16S ribosomal RNA". It matches the Rfam family "Bacterial small subunit ribosomal RNA", at positions 524 to 776 of the family's 1533-position model. The record is from RNAcentral.